CUGAACAAAGAAAAAAAUUGGUUUAAAGUGUGGCGUUGGGAUGGAUAAAUAAUGGUAGGAAGGGAUACUUGAUGAUCGGAGUAAUAAGAGAUGAAAAUAAAACUCGCAAGACUUUUCACUUCUUUUUUUUCUUCUUCUUUUUUACUCCUUUUUUUUUGCUCACUUCUUUUUUUUCUUUUUUUUUGAUUUUUUUUUGAAUUUUGAUUUUUUUUUUGUGAUACUCCAAUACAAUAGUAAGGUAAAUACAAGGAAGGAAAAAAAAUUAAAUUACAACUCAAAAUUUUUUUUUAUUUUUUUCUUCACGUUCCGAACCUACUUGUGGCCUUGUUACGAACGUCGGUGCUCCUCGUUUUGCAAGCUCUGACACCAAAUGAUGUGAUCCGGCUCGAUGAUGUAGAGUUGAGUC
RNAcentral lists this long non-coding RNA (406 nucleotides) under Gossypium raimondii (Peruvian cotton). Its description in RNAcentral is "long non-coding RNA (GRAI_LNC006362)". Lineage: Eukaryota; Viridiplantae; Streptophyta; Magnoliopsida; Malvales; Malvaceae. The record is from RNAcentral.